Molecule: ribosomal RNA, 494 nt
Filed under: uncultured bacterium
Lineage: Bacteria
Description: bacterial SSU rRNA
Rfam family: Bacterial small subunit ribosomal RNA
Source: RNAcentral
AAAUGAAUAGACGGGGGCCCGCACAAGCAGCGGAGCAUGUGGUUUAAUUCGAAGCAACGCGAAGAACCUUACCAGGUCUUGACAUCCAGUUAAAGCUAUAGAGAUAUAGUGUGCCUUCGGGCGAACUGAGACAGGUGGUGCAUGGUUGUCGUCAGCUCGUGUCGUGAGAUGUUGGGUUAAGUCCCGCAACGAGCGCAACCCCUGCUGAUAGUUACUAACAAGUGAAGUUGAGGACUCUAUCGGGACCGCCGGGGACAACUCGGAGGAAGGUGGGGACGACGUCAAAUCAUCAUGCCCCUUAUGACCUGGGCUACACACGUGCUACAAUGGCCGAGACAGAGGGAAGCGAAGGAGUAAUCUGGAGCGGAUCCCAAAAAGGCGGCCACAGUUCGGAUUGUGGGCUGCAACCCGCCCACAUGAAGCCGGAGUUGCUAGUAAUCGCGAAUCAGCAUGUCGCGGUGAAUACGUUCCCGGGCCUUGUACACACCGCCCGU